Molecule: ribosomal RNA, 1791 nt
Filed under: invertebrate metagenome
Description: SSU rRNA
Rfam family: Eukaryotic small subunit ribosomal RNA
Source: RNAcentral
CCUGGUUGAUCCUGCCAGUAGUUAUAUGCUCGUCUCAAAGAUUAAGCCAUGCAUGUCUCAGCAAUUAUAUUCACACGAUAUGGCUGCGAAUGGCUCAUUAUAUCAGAUAUGAUUCAUCUGAUUGUGAUCCUUCAGAUGGAUACCUGUGGAAAGUCUGGGGCUAAUACAUGCAUCAAUAUCUAGCUCAGAGGCUGGAUUGUGUUCAUUAGCUAUUCAAGCCAAUGCAGGUUGAGCCUGCUUGUUCGAUGACUCAUAAUGAUUCUUCCAAUCGCAUGGCAUGCGCCUGUGAUUCUUGAUUUAAGUUUCUGACCUAUCAGCUUCUGAUGGUAUGGUAUAUGCAUACCAUGGCAAUGACGGGUGGCGGAGAAUUAGGGUUCGGUUCCGGAGAGGGAGCCUGCGAGAUGGCUACCACAUCCAAGGAAGGCAGCAGGCGCGCAAAUUACCCACUUCUGAAACAGGGAGGCAGUGACAAGCAGUAGCGAUACUGGGCAUGCGUGUCCUGUAAUCGCAAUGAGUCUAUUCCAAAUCUCUUGAUGAGAACCAAUUGGAGGGCAAGUCUGGUGCCAGCAGCCGCGGUAAUUCCAGCUCCAAUAGCAUAUAUUAAAGUUGCUGCGGUUAAAAAGCUCGUAGUUGAGUCUCUAGCAAGGUCGACUGAUCCAUCUUCAGGGUGCGAAUUUAGCUCGGCUCAGCUUCUUUCUGGCAAGGCCUCUCUGCACAUCGGUCUGCAGAUAGCUGCGCCGGCUUUUACUUUGAGAAAAAUAAAGUUCUUCAAGCAGGCGUACGUCAUGGAUAUGUGAGCAUGGAAUAAUCAUAUAUGCCUCGGCUCAGAUUUUGUUGGUUUCCAUUGCUGAGGUAAAGGGUUGUAGGGCCAGAUGGGGGCACUCGCAUUUAACUGUCAGAGGUGAAAUUCUUGGAUUUGUUAAAGACGGCCCAGUGCGAAAGCAUUUGCCAAGAAUGUUCUCGUUGAUCAAGAACGAAAGUUAGGGGAUCGAAGAUGAUCAGAUACCAUCCUAGUCUUAACCAUAAACGAUGCCUACUAGAGAUCGGAGGUUGUUCAAUUUGCGACGCCUUCAGCAUCCUAUGAGAAAUCGAAGUCUUUGGGUUCUGGGGGGAGUAUGGUCGCAAGGCUGAAACUUAAAGGAAUUGACGGAAGGGCACCACCAGGAGUGGAGCCUGCGGCUUAAUUUGACUCAACGCGGGGAAACUUACUAGGUCCAGACACAGUAAGGAUUGACAGACUGAUAGAUCUUUCGUGAUCUUGUGGGUGGUGGUGCAUGGCCGUUCUUAGUUGGUGGAGUGAUUUGUCUGGUUAAUUCCGUUCACGAACGAGACCUCAACUCACUAAUUAGCCACGCCAAUCUUAGGAUAGGUGGGGUGCUUCUUAGAGGGACUUUGUGCUUCUAGUACAAGGAAGAUUGAGGCAAUAACAGGUCUGUGAUGCCCUUAGAUGUUCUGGGCUGCACGCGCGCGACACUGAUUCAUCCAUCGAGUUUGCGCCUUGCCCUAUAUGGUCGGGCACUCUUCUGAAACUGCAUCGUGUUGGGGAUAGAUUAUUGCAAUUAUUAAUCUUGAACGAGGAAUUCCUAGUAGGCGCGAGUCAUCAACUCGUGCUGAUUAUGUCCCUGCCCUUUGUACACACCGCCCGUCGCUCCUACCGAUUGAGUGCUCCUGUGAACAAUUUGGAUUGCGGCAGUCUCCAGUAUUGGCACCUGCUGUAGGAAGAUUUGUGAAUUGCAACACUUAGAGGAAGGAGAAGUCGUAACAAGGUUUCCGUAGGUGAACCUGCGGAAG